AUGAUAUAAAUCGAGCAUAUGCUUCUGAAAGACCGAAGGGUUUGAAAAAUUUUAGCUCAAGCCCAAAACCCUAUUUGGGUGAGUUACUCUAACUGGAUUCGGAUCCUAUAUUUGGAUCCGGAUCGGGUCGGAUCGAGUCAUGUAUUUUAAGAUCCAAAUUAACCCAAAAAUCUUCACGGAUUAAAUCGGGUCGGAUUGGAUCCAAAUUUAAAAAAUCCAGACCCAAUCCGAAAAAGGGA
RNAcentral lists this long non-coding RNA (239 nucleotides) under Elaeis guineensis (African oil palm). RNAcentral describes it as "long non-coding RNA (EGUI_LNC015726)". Lineage: Eukaryota; Viridiplantae; Streptophyta; Magnoliopsida; Arecales; Arecaceae. The record is from RNAcentral.